Molecule: transfer-messenger RNA, 285 nt
Filed under: Mesorhizobium sp.
Lineage: Bacteria; Pseudomonadati; Pseudomonadota; Alphaproteobacteria; Hyphomicrobiales; Phyllobacteriaceae
Description: partial transfer-messenger RNA
Rfam family: Alphaproteobacteria transfer-messenger RNA
About the family: Bacterial tmRNA, also known as 10Sa RNA or SsrA, is named for its dual tRNA and mRNA-like properties. Its role is to liberate the mRNA from a stalled ribosome.
Source: RNAcentral
GGCCUUUCUUUUUCGCUUAUCGAUCCCUAUAUUCGGUUCGUCGGCUUGACCGACUAUGGCGAUAAACAGGCGAUGAAAUAAGCCGUUCGGACCCGGGGGCGGUACCCGGCGCCUCCACCAAAAACCGCUCUGGAUGACGGAGCGGCUUUUGCUGGGGGCGAAAUAGGAUCGACGAAGGUGUAAAGAUCGUACUUUUGCCCGGCAUUGUACCACCGUCAUCGGGCUAAACUUAUAGUUGCCAACGACAACUAUGCGGAAGCACGUCUCGCUGCUUAAUGCAGUGCG